GGACUAUUACUAAACGGCCGCGGAAUUAUAACCGUGCUAAGGUAGCAUAAUCAUUUGUCCUUUAAUUAAGGACUUGUAUGAACGGCUAAACGAAGUUAAGCUGUCUUUUCUAUAAACCCUAUAAAUUAUUCUUAAAGUAAAAAAUCUUUAAUACAUUGAAAAGACAAAAAGACCCUAUAGAGUUUUACUUAUUAAUAUAGAUCUAACACUAUAAAAUAAGUUUAGUUGGGGCAACUUAAAGAAAUAGAAAUUCUUCAAAAAAUUAUAUAUAUAUUUAAUCAUUUUUUAAAUAAGACAAAAUAAAUUACCUUAGGGGUAACAGCAUAAAUUUCUUUGAGAGCCCAAAUCGAAAAGAAAAAUUAU
Molecule: ribosomal RNA, 363 nt
Filed under: Plicaherpia sp. ZSM Mol 20190845
Lineage: Eukaryota; Metazoa; Mollusca; Solenogastres; Sterrofustia; Phyllomeniidae
Description: partial large subunit ribosomal RNA
Rfam family: Bacterial large subunit ribosomal RNA
Source: RNAcentral